Molecule: long non-coding RNA, 4163 nt
Organism: Malaya genurostris
Lineage: Eukaryota; Metazoa; Arthropoda; Insecta; Diptera; Culicidae
Exons: 2
Source: RefSeq, a predicted model, not a curated record
AUAAGAAAACUAGAACUGUUUACCCCAGUUUAAGUCUCAUGUUUAUUUUCCAUAGUAAUAAAACCUUUCCGUUCCUCUUAAGAAAGGGAUCAGCAUAUGCACACAGGCAGGAUAGAUUUUACAGAGCUGCGCGCUAGGGCCUUAUAGACUAUUCAAUGUAGGAGGUAAACAAAUGCCGGCUAAGAGAACCAAACAGAAAUUUAUGUAAACCAGAUGCGCGCGUAUGCAUAGGACUCCCGAUGUGGAAUGGAAAGAGAAAACAACAAUACGUUGCGUCAUAUGUUGCGCAACGUUCCAAUUCAAUGCAACACUUUUCUUAUUAUAAAUAGCUUUAAGAAAUUGUUAAUAAACGAGUAUACGUCUAAGUCUUGUCCACCCCGGUCGUAUCUCGCGUGUAGUGAAUAUCACCUUUCAUUCUUCAGUUUGAUCCUGAACAGCAGUUGUCUUUGUCUCCAGUUGAGAGAAUCAUGACUUGCUGGUUUUAGUGUCGGAUGGAUCUGUUCGGAAGCGCCUUUCUCACUCUCUGCUCAUUGAAAUAGGCUGAGCUUAGUUACAAGCCAUUUUCCACAAGCUGGACUCUGGCCGAGAAACCGUGGAAGACCAGAUUUAUACGGCCUACAAUCGGCUCCGACGCGCCCCCUCUUAGAAUCUCUUGUCACAAGCUGGCAUUAGUGGAGAGGCUGGUAGCAAGAGUCAAGAUUUUGCUCUAGCUGAUUCGAAGUGGCCACUUCUGUCAGUCUCAAACUGUUGGUAGAAAUACAGAACUGAGCUGAUCUGCCAACAGGUAGAGCUUGGCGUGCAAAAGCAGCACGCUAAGAUAUACCUGCCGGAUAGAAGGAUCACGUCUCAAUUCGAACACGGACAUUUGCUCAGUUCGUCGAGCUGAAUCGAUUGGCAUAUGACAUUCGGCCCUCCGGGCCUCGGAAAAUUUUUCUAAAGUUUGAGCGAAUUCUAUACCGAUUUUUAUAUUUAUAAAAAAGGUAAAAACGACCAAUAUUUGCACGUUCCAAUGAAUGAAAUGAGCUCAUUCUCCCCAUUUUUGUCGUGACAGUUUAGAAAUGUUGAAAAAUAAAUUAUCUGGCAAUGCAAUCACAUCAAAGUAUGCUCAUAUAGUUCCUAAUACGAAACAUAGCUGUUUAUUUUUCAUAAUAAAGGAGUAUUAUUUUGAAAAUAGUUGAGAUUCAAGCUUGAAGUUGAUAAUCGCUUGCUUUUGAACAUUUCCAUGCGAUCAUUGGUGGAAUCCAAAACAAUGUAGGGGCAGAUGUUCGGUUGCCGCAAACCACCGUCACUUUUGACAGAAAGCAGAUAGCAUCAUUCCGACAAAUGUCAUGUGUGUGUAAUAGCAGCACGUUUUUUUUUGUGCCGAAUGCCAAAGCAAACAGACGCUUGUACUUUUUGCUGCGUUCAAAACAAAUUUUUAUUGAGUUAAAAUCAAAUACGAGAUCUGCAAAUGCGUGUGUGACAAAUAAUUUCACUUAAUUUUCUCGGAGAUGGCUAAACCGUUUUCUACAAACUCAGAUUCAUAUGAAAAGUCGUAUGCUCCUAAAUAAGGUUCCUGAAUUACGUUUGGAUCCGACCUCUGAUUGCGGAACCACAAGAUGAUAUGUGAAACGAAAUUAAAAUAAUGCAAUUCAUUUUUCUCGUGGAUGGCUGAACCGAUCUAAGAUUCAAAUGAAAUCUAAGAAUCAACUAUGAUUCAAAUGAGAGGUCCUAAGAUCCUAUAAAACAACUUACUUUUUAGUCAGAUCCGACUUCUGGUUUAGGAGAUAUAGUGUGAUUAGUAUAAAAAUGUCCAUUUCACAUAAAUUAAUCAGGUUUAUAGGGUUGGCAGAUGUGGAUAGUCGAUUAAAAAAUAAAUUUAUUUCAGUUUAAGCGGUAUUCGAUUUUGGAUUCGGAAUGUACUCCCAAAUUUUAAUUCGCACUACAAUUUCUCACUCAUCAGGUGAAUUUAACUGAUUUCGGCUACAUCGAUUUUAGAAUUCCGUUUCCAGUAUCGGAUCGUUUCUCAAAGCUCAAUCAUUUUCUCAAAAUUCCUCGAUCAUUUUCGCCAAAUUGAACUUCAAAAACAAAAAUUCAGGUCCCAUACAAAAUACGAAUUCGGACUUAAGGUAACCAUACAAAAUUAGUGAAUUUUAUCAGAUUCUGAAAUUACAGAUGGUGAGUUUUUAAAGUUCAUACCAAUAUAGAAGAUGUAAAUUGUUUGGCGUAUUGAUUUAACAGAUCGGCUGAAAAGUUCGUAUCGUUUCUAUGAGAGGGCGCCACUAGAAUUGAAUCCAUACCAUUUUCAGUUAGUACCAACCUUCAAAAGAUACGUGUAUAAAUUUGACAGCUGUCUGAUCAUUAGUUUGUGAGAUAUUGCAUUUUGAGUGAAGCUACUUUUGUUAUUGUGAAAAAAAUGAAAAAAAGUAAUUUCGUGUGUUGAUGAAACACUACUUUUUGAUGAAAAAAGUGCCGCCGAUACCAAAAAAUGGCUUGAUGAGUAUUAUCCAGACUCUGCACCGGGCGAAGCAACAAUUCGUAAGUGGUUUGCAAAAUUUCGUACUGGUCAUAUGAGCACCGAAGACGAUGAACGCAGUGGACGUCCAAAAGAGGCUGGUACCGAUGAAAACGCGAAAAAAAUCCACAAGUUGAUUUUCAAUGACCGUAAAGUGAAGUUGUUCGAGAUAGCUGACACCCUAAAGAUAUCAAAGGAACGUGUUGGACAUAUUAUUCACGAAUAUUUGGAUAUGAGAAAGUUUUGUGCAAAAUGGGUGCCGCGUGAGCUCACAAUCGAUCAAAAACAACAACGAAUUGAUGAUUCUGAGCAGUGGUUGAAGCUGUUAUAUCGAAAUAAAACCGAUUUUUUUCGUCGAUAUAUAACAAUGGACGAAACAUGGCUCCAUCCCUUCACUCCGGAGUCCAAUCGACAGUCAGCUGAGUGGACUGCAUGCGAUGAACCGAACCCAAAGCGUGGAAAGACUCAACAAUCGGCCGGUAAGGUUAUGGCGUCUGUAUUUUGGGAUUCGCAUGAUAUAAUUUUCAUCGACUACCUUGAAAAGGGAAAAACCAUCAACAGUGACUAUUAUAUAGCGUUAUUAGAGCGUUCGAAGGACGAAACUUCAAAGAAACGGUCUCAUUUGAAGAAGAAAAAAGUUUUGUUUCAUCAAGACAAUGCACCGUGUCACAAGUCGAUGAAAACCAUGCUGAAAUUGAACGAAUUUGGCUUCGAAUUGCUCUCUCAUCCACCGUAUCGCUGAGGCCUAUUUUGAGGCAAAGGACAAAUCGUACUACAAAAAUGGUAUCGAAAAGUUGGAAGAUCGCUAUAAUCGCUGUAUCGCCUCUGAUGACAAUUAUGUUGAAUAAUAAAAACGAAUUUUGGCAAAAAAAUGUGUGUUUCUAUUAAACGAUACGAACUUUUCAGUCGAACUGUUAGGGCCAUUCGAAUCAUUUUGGGUUAUGCUAGUUCCUGAAUACCGGCUCUCCAAGUACCAUAAAUGAUGACGAAAAACUCUAAAGUGGAACUUACUUCGACAUCUCAUGGAAUGUUCAAUCGAUUGUCAUACGUUAAGAUUGAAAUUCGAUACGAUUUGCAGUUUCGACAUUACAGGGUGAUGAGUGAUUAAAAUCGCAAUUCGCGACCUAGAAGGAACAGUGCUGCUAUCUAUGGAAGUUUAAUCUGUGUGUGCAGUGAAUGUAAACAAAGCAGGGUACUUUUUCACUCAAGUAAAAUUAGUUCAUUCUCUGUUUGCUCAAUUGAUUUUCUUGUGCGUUGAAGUACUAAAAAGAUUAAACGCCUCCUAUUCAGUCAUUAAAACAUAUUUUUUUGCGGUACAUCAUUGCUGGUAUUUCGUGAGUAAAAAGCGAGAAAAAACUCCUCUUCCGGCACUAGUAAUCCACAUAGGCCAUGGAUCUGAAAAGUUGCUCGAAUGGACUUGCAAAAACAUUUCAUGACAGUGUUUGUUAUACUGAUGAGAACAGUGUGUUAUGUUCCAGAUUGAGUAUACCGAUUUAAUCCUUCCCAAACAAGUAAAAUGAACAAUACAUAACAUGGAUUCAACGAUUCAGAGUUAAGUCAACGAAAACUGCUUGGGUGCAUGUGUGUCGUCAAUUUGUAAACUGGUAUAUUUAUGUAUAUUAAAUUUAUUCAUCUGACAAUAAAACAUAAUUAAUAAAUAAAUGUCAAA